AUGUUCACAGUUUUGGAGGCAAGAGACAUGCUGACUGAAUGCCAAGGGUCAUGUGACUCUUACGUAAAGGUUUGUACUUGCGUUCCUCAUCAUACAACAUCCUGUAGCACCUAUAAGAAAAGUGAUUAUCUCAUUUAUCUAUUAUGUGUUUUGUUUUUACAGGUUGGCAUGCUUCCUGACUCUGAUCCUGGGGGAAGGAAGAAGACUCCGAUGGUUCCUCAUUGCCGAAACCCGGUGUUUUUACACACUUUUUACUUUGCAAUCAGUGAGGAGGACCUUCAUAAGAGACUCCUCUUCACGGUGUGGAACUCUGACUCUACAACAAGGUGUUGGACAAUAAUAAAAUGAACACAAACUAAAAUGAAAAUGUGCCAUUUUUUUAGCAUUUAAAGCCAAAUAUAUUAGGUAUAAUGUUUUUAUUUUACAUGGCAGCAGACGUUUAAAAACCUUUUUCAAGCUGCCACGUCUUUUAUCCUAAUUUGAUGCAGCUGCAUGCAGCAUGUACUCUAAAUCUGGUGGAGUGAAUGUGUUACUUUUGCUUUCCUGCUUCAGCAUACUUAAUCUGAAACAAGGUCACUUGAUUUUUGGGCAAAUAAAUCUCAAAUGUUUCUGUGCUAAACUGUGGUGGCAGGCAAAAAGCAUUACUGUGUUCUGGAAAUAUAGACGGUUAUGCUGUUAAAUUCAUGUAUUAUGUAGACAAUUUGCUCUGAAUGUAGAAUAAUAACAGGAUUUCCCUGUUUUAUUUUAACAAGAUAGAAAUAACUUGCCUUGAGUAUAAAAAAUAAAACACCAUAAACUACAUGAAAUAAAUGUUAACACAGAAAUAUUGUAUACUGAGACAGUUCAACAGCUCUGUUAAGAUCAGGGAGUGAUUUUAAAGAUUAGGACCCAUUUUGGGACUGUUUCUAGGACACAGAUUAAGCACAAUUCUUUCAUUUUAGUAGAGAUCUAAGCUUUAUUCACACCAAAUGUCUCUGCUGUAUUCAUGAUAAAAGUCCUGUAGAACCAAAACAUACAAUUGACACUCAAUUGAUCAACAUCAACGUGCUCGUUUGAAUUGGGCAUCGUUUGAAUUUGAACGGUUCUGAUUUAAAUUCCCCAUUUAGAUUUCGGUUCUUAUUGAUUCUCAAUACAGAUUCUUGCAAGAUGCAAGGGCUGUUUCUCAAUACUGGAACACUGCUAGUAUGUUCUUGUGUACUCAACAAGUAUGUUCUUGGCAAAGACACCAGAAAGGUACGGGAGGACAAGGACAGUAUUUGGAAUGGAACCGUACUCCGUUGCGUCAUGGCAACAAGCACUGUUUGUUUCUAGCUACGAUUAAAUGACCUGACAUAAAAUAAAAGUCCAGCUUGAUCCUUAAAGAGGGACUGCACACCAUCACAAAACGUAACUCCACCUCUAGUCAAGAUUUGAAAAAUGCUAUGAAAGUGGGUGUUGCCAGGAGGCACAGAGUGGCAUGGCCAAGUGUGGGGUUGCACACAAUUAUGUACAAUAACAGACAACUUAAUAUUUCUUUAUUAGUAUUUCUGAUAUAAAACUCUACAGUUAUUAGAUUUCAUCUCUGACGUUCGGAGUAUAACGGUUGCGACACAAUGCAUUGUGGGAAACUGCUGUCCCAAGUCUGCAGAAGGAUGCAUUGAUGCAUCCUCAAGCAAGAACAUAUGCAGGAACUUUGAGUAAACUUGGAUGCAUACUUGGGAUUGGAACAGUCCUUGGGCCAUCGUUGAUGAUGUUUCACAAGGACAUGAGUACACAAGUACAGAGAAGUAAGCAUAUUGAGAAAUGGCCAGGGUCUAAAAACAAUUCACGUUUUAAGCGAGCCAGCCAUAGGUCUUACUUGAUUAAAUAAUCAACCUGGGAAGGAAGGGGACAAGUGGGGUGGCCCCAUAUUUCCAGGGGUAGUCCCCUCUGGCCACCCUUUGGAGCACCCCUGUAUCAAAGGCCUGGUUUGAAUCCUAUUCUGAGAAGAUAUUCUCACAUAUUCUCUGAACUUUCUUGUCAGCAAACAAGGUUGUCAGCAAACACAGCCGGCAGCAUUACCAACAAUCAUAACUGUGAUCUCUGCGGGACUGAUCUUUAGCCCUGCAGCACCUGUGUUCAUCUCAGAAGCAAUAACCAGAUCCAGCUGAAAUGUCAUGCAAUGUGCUUAUUCAACACACACCUCUGUUGUACUGCUGCUGUUGAGGAUGUCGUGGGAAGCACUGCCACUUCAGCAAAUCCUCUUUAACACCUCUGAAGGUGAGCUAAAGUAGUGCUCUAGCCAGGUUCAGUUGAUCUUUUCACAAAUACAAGCACCUUUGUAACGUGUGGACACAAAAAACUGUAAAGACUGAUUAGAUUUUCACUUACAUGCCAAUAUAAUUAAUCCAAAAUGUUCCAAAUAGAUAAACAAUCAUUGGAUAAUGUGAGUGCUCUAGUCAAAUACGAAACAAUGUCAGCAAUACACAAAUGAAAUUCACUAUUAAAAUUAAUAUAAAUAAGGAGCUGCUUCCUGUUGUUACCAAAGACGCAAUAAAGACUGUAACAGUUUGGAUAAUGGAGACUUGGACGAAUGUUUAACUUUAGAUUGUAGCCAGCAAUUGGAUCCAGAGGACUCCAAUGUUAUAUGCUUGGGAUCAUGUCACUUUCAAAAGACCAUUCUUUGCUACUUUUUUCGUCAUGCAGCCUCAAAUUAUUAGUUUUUUCUACUUAAAAAGCCAUAAAACCCCCCAGGUUCUGUACUUUCAUAGCAAAUAUCUCAUAGUUUCUGCCACUGAAAACAAAGUAAGACCAAAUGGUACGCCCGAAUUAUGAGUUUUAAAAUAACAAUUCUCAAUAAUAUUUAUUAUUGAGAUUUACAGUCAUAAUUAUGAGGUUCAAAAUCAUAUUUAUAAAUUCCAGUAGCAUAAUUGUUGGUCAGAAAUGUGCCUCUAUUCACACACAGGUUACAUUCACAGCAAAAGGUUUUUCAUAAAGGUGUUUUAAUUCUUUAAUUCCUGACACUAGAAAUGUCAGAUAGAAUAUUUUCAUUUUAUAUUCAAAUCUUUGUUGGACAAUAAUAAAAUUAUCCACUUGAACAUGUUUUAAUAUGUACUUAUUUAACAAGGCAAGUGUAAGAUUUGGUAGGUCAAGGUUUUAAGGAAAGUACUGACCUUGUUAGUGAAGCAGCAGUCUUAAAAUGAGGCCUGUCCAAUCCAAGGUUUAAUUAUUUAUCCUUUUAUUGUAAAUGAGGGAAAAGAAGCUAGUUGUUCAGUUGACUUAUUUGUUUGACCGCUGCAGAAACUUGACCUGGAUUAAACUUUCUCUCAAAAAUAUAAACCAGUGGUAAUUUUCAUGUGCUGAAAUAAUGUUAUCUAAACAAAUUUACUAGAUAUUCUUCUUUUAAUUAACCAAUGUUUAAAAACUGUAUAUUUGAAGUAAAUAAAACUACUUGAACCAACUGAGAAAGGAUGACAAACUCAUAUGUUGUCAUCCCAAUGAGAUGGCUGCUUGAUCCAGUUCCUUGGUUAUUUUUUACCAAAGUGCAGACACGAUGCAGUUCAGGUGUUCAUUCAACCUGACAGCCAGUUUGUCAUCAGAACAGCAUCAGCAGCUGCAUGGCUUCAUUCCAGCUGUGAGCUUGUCUACAACUGUUUUUCUCAUGUGUGCAUUACUGAGCAAAACCACUAAAACAACACAGUCGCACACACUCUCAGAACUGUCAUGCUACAUUCUCAGUGGCCAAGUGUUAUGAGUGUCUGGCCUGAGACUAGGAGCUCAGGGUUCAAAUACCUUCGGGUCAUACCAAAGACCUUGAAAAUGGGACCCAAUGCCUUCCUGCUUGAUACUCAGCUUUAAUGGGUUGGAUUGGCGGUUAAACCACCAACUAGUUCCUGAGCGCGGCCACUGUUGCAGCUCACCGCUCCCCACGGGGAUGGGUCAAUUGCAGAGAUGUAAUUUUUUUUUUUUUUUUUGUAAUUUCACCAGUGUGUGAUGACGACUAAUGGGACUUUUAUCAACGAUUUGCAUGUUCAGAUUGUUUUGUGUGUCUUCUUUAUGAGUUGUUAUUCUGCAGACCACUCCACACAAAGAAAAACAAAUUCUCCUAUUCUAAUUUGUUACAGAUGGAUUUUUAUGGAGCCAAACUGGGAAGAAAGAAAAUGCAGAAAACAUUAAAAACAGAAAGUUAACAUUGUUUUUUUCUGUACUGAAGCCGAGUUACACGAGAUCCUGAUUUUGCUCUUGGGUUUUCAUUGAUCUACUGAUUUAUUUUCUCUGUCUGCCUCUAAACACCAACAGAGUGAGUGUGCUGCUCGGUUGCACCAGCUUUGGCAUGCGCUCCCUCAUGGAAGCAGAGAAGGUAAGUUUAAACCAUCGACAUAUAAAUAUUGGACAAUACGUUUCCAUAGGCUUAAUAACACGUUUUUGAGGAUAAAUGGGAGGUGGCCACCACCACCAUUUUGACUGUCUCACAGGUUCCGUCAAGCCCAGACAAUUCCACAAAAGGGAAGAGAGGUGGAGCUGAGGGUGGGGCUGUAAGGCUGGGAUCAACUGACGACACCUGGUCGAACUAGCUACAAACUAACCUGAAGCUAACCCAA
This 4559-nucleotide long non-coding RNA is filed under the name Nothobranchius furzeri (turquoise killifish). RNAcentral describes it as "lncRNA (ENSNFUG00015021152.1)". The record is from RNAcentral. Lineage: Eukaryota; Metazoa; Chordata; Actinopteri; Cyprinodontiformes; Nothobranchiidae.